This 253-nucleotide ribosomal RNA is filed under the name uncultured bacterium. Its description in RNAcentral is "partial 16S ribosomal RNA". It matches the Rfam family "Bacterial small subunit ribosomal RNA", at positions 524 to 776 of the family's 1533-position model. The record is from RNAcentral.
UACGUAGGGUGCGAGCGUUAAUCGGAAUUACUGGGCGUAAAGCGUGCGCAGGCGGUUGUGCAAGACAGAUGUGAAAUCCCCGGGCUCAACCUGGGAACUGCCUUUGUGACUGCAUGACUAGAGUACGGCAGAGGGGGAUGGAAUUCCGCGUGUAGCAGUGAAAUGCGUAGAUAUGCGGAGGAACACCGAUGGCGAAGGCAAUCCCCUGGGCCUGUACUGACGCUCAUGCACGAAAGCGUGGGGAGCAAACAGG